ACAAUUGAGCAAGUUUUGUACAACCUGUCAAGGUCAUUCAGAUGGCACAUCAAAUUUGAAAAAUAUUUAUUAAUCUAACAAAAGAAAAAAGUAGAUACUAUUUUUUAAGUUUAUGAAACAUAUUUUAAAACUCAAUAAACUACGAGCAAACUAUUGAUUCAUGAUAAGGAUUUUUAAACUCCACAUGAAAAUUGCCAUUGGCCAAGAAAAUACUUACUUCGUCAAUAUUAUGGUCAUAG
RNAcentral lists this unclassified non-coding RNA (239 nucleotides) under Hevea brasiliensis (rubber tree). The record is from RNAcentral. Lineage: Eukaryota; Viridiplantae; Streptophyta; Magnoliopsida; Malpighiales; Euphorbiaceae.